GAUGAACGCUAGCUACAGGCUUAACACAUGCAAGUCGAGGGGCAGCAUAACGAAAGCUUGCUUUUGUUGAUGGCGACCGGCGCACGGGUGAGUAACGCGUAGGCAACCUGCCUUUCUGAUGGGGACAACAUCCCGAAAGGGGUGCUAAUACCGAAUGACGUAUGUUUCCCGCAUGGGAAAGAUACCAAAGAUGGCCUCUACUUGUAAGCUAUCGCAGAAAGAUGGGCCUGCGUCUGAUUAGCCAGUUGGCGGGGUAACGGCCCACCAAAGCGACGAUCAGUAGCCGGUCUGAGAGGAUGAACGGCCACAUUGGGACUGAGACACGGCCCAGACUCC
This 336-nucleotide ribosomal RNA is filed under the name uncultured Veillonellaceae bacterium. RNAcentral's name for it is "bacterial SSU rRNA". It matches the Rfam family "Bacterial small subunit ribosomal RNA", at positions 28 to 339 of the family's 1533-position model. The record is from RNAcentral. Lineage: Bacteria; Bacillati; Bacillota; Negativicutes; Veillonellales; Veillonellaceae.